This 406-nucleotide ribosomal RNA is filed under the name uncultured bacterium. RNAcentral describes it as "partial 16S ribosomal RNA". It matches the Rfam family "Bacterial small subunit ribosomal RNA", at positions 29 to 526 of the family's 1533-position model. The record is from RNAcentral.
AUUGAACGCUGGCGGCAGGCCUAACACAUGCAAGUCGAACGAGUGGCGGACGGGUGAGUAAUGUCUGGGAAACUGCCCGAUGGCGGGGGAUAACUCCUGGAAACGGUAGCUAAUACCGCAUACCAUCGGAUGUGCCCAGAUGGGUUUAGCUAGUAGGUGGGGUAACGGCUCACCUAGGCGACGAUCCCUAGCUGGUCUGAGAGGAUGACCAGCCAAUCUGGAACUGUGACACGGUCCAGAGUCCUACGGGAGGGAGGAGUGGGGAAUAUGGCGCAAUGGGCGCAAGCCUGAUACAGCCAAGCGGCGGGGAUGAAGAAGGCCUUCGGGUUGUAGAGUGCUUUCAGCGAGGAGGCGUUACGCGGAGAAGAAGCACCGGCUAACUCCGUGCCAGCAGCCGCGGUAAUGC